GGGCCCGUAGCUUAGCACGGUAGAGGAAAGCCGAAAGCGCUCGGCUCUUAACCGAGUGGUCGCGGGUUCAAAUCCCGCCGGGCCCG
This 86-nucleotide transfer RNA is filed under the name Thermoprotei archaeon. RNAcentral describes it as "tRNA-Lys". It matches the Rfam family "tRNA". Rfam says of the family: Transfer RNA (tRNA) molecules are approximately 80 nucleotides in length. Their secondary structure includes four short double-helical elements and three loops (D, anti-codon, and T loops). Lineage: Archaea; Thermoproteati; Thermoproteota; Thermoprotei. The record is from RNAcentral. RNAcentral also lists the same sequence under 1 other name.